GAUGAACGCUGGCGGCGUGCCUAACACAUGCAAGUCGAGCGAACCCUUCGGGGUGAGCGGCGGACGGGUGAGUAACGCGUGGGUAACCUGCCCUAUACACACGGAUAACGUACCGAAAGGUACGCUAAUACGGGAUAAAGUUGUUGGAUGGCAUCUUCUAACAAUCAAAGCUCCGGCGGUAUAGGAUGGACCCGCGUCGGAUUAGCUAGGUGGUGAGGUAAUGGCUCACCAAGGCGACGCUCAGUAGCCGACCUGAGAGGGUGAUCGGCCACACUGGAACUGAGACACGGUGCAGACUCCUACGGGAGGCAGCAGUGGGGGAUAUUGCACAAUGGGCGAAAGCCUGAUGCAGCAACGCCGCGUGAGCGAUGAAGGUCUUCGGAUCGUAAAGCUCUGUCCUCAAGGAAGAUAAUGACGGUACUUGAGGAGGAAGCCCCGGCUAACUACGUGCCAGCCGCCGCGGUAA
Molecule: ribosomal RNA, 466 nt
Filed under: uncultured bacterium
Lineage: Bacteria
Description: partial 16S ribosomal RNA
Rfam family: Bacterial small subunit ribosomal RNA
Source: RNAcentral